AGUGAACGCUGGCGGUAGGCCUAACACAUGCAAGUCGAACGGCAGCACAGAGGAGCUUGCUCCUUGGGUGGCGAGUGGCGGACGGGUGAGGAAUACAUCGGAAUCUACUCUGUCGUGGGGGAUAACGUAGGGAAACUUACGCUAAUACCGCAUACGACCUACGGGUGAAAGCAGGGGAUCUUCGGACCUUGCGCGAUUGAAUGAGCCGAUGUCGGAUUAGCUAGUUGGCGGGGUAAAGGCCCACCGAGGCGACGAUCCGUAGCUGGUCUGAGAGGAUGAUCAGCCACACUGGAACUGGGAGACGGUCCAGACUCCUACGGGAGGCAGCAGUGGGGAAUAUUGGACAAUGGGCGCAAGCCUGAUCCAGCCAUACCGCGUGGGUGAAGAAGGCCUUCGGGUUGUAAAGCCCUUUUGUUGGGAAAGAAAUCCAUCUGGUUAAUACCCGGGUGGGAUGACGGUACCCAAAGAAUAAGCACCGGCUAACUUCGUGCCAGCCGCCGCCGUAA
RNAcentral lists this ribosomal RNA (506 nucleotides) under uncultured bacterium. Its description in RNAcentral is "partial 16S ribosomal RNA". It matches the Rfam family "Bacterial small subunit ribosomal RNA", at positions 29 to 523 of the family's 1533-position model. The record is from RNAcentral.